RNAcentral lists this long non-coding RNA (460 nucleotides) under Sparus aurata (gilthead seabream). RNAcentral's name for it is "lncRNA (ENSSAUG00010014472.1)". The record is from RNAcentral. Lineage: Eukaryota; Metazoa; Chordata; Actinopteri; Spariformes; Sparidae.
ACUCUUAUGCUUACAUUCAUUUUCCUCUCCUCCUUCCCAAACCUAUAAAUCACAGAUUGCUCUGAGAAAACAAAGAUGGGCAACAUUUGCAAGAUCAGCACUUACGAUGAGGAGUGACGGGAAGGGAAACUGCAGUGAAGGAAGGAUGGGAAGGGAUCAAAGGAAACGACCUGUGGUUAUCUUGCAAUGUGUUUUUUUUUUCUUCAAAAUGGAAAAAGUAAGUUAAAGGAAUGGAAGAAGCCUGUUCACAAGUCAGGAGGUCUUGCUCGUCACUGAGUACUUUUUGCAAUGUUCAGCUCUACAAACACUCAAAUGGUGAUUCUGUUCCAAAACCCUGGCAAAACAAGUCAGUCCCCAAACACAAUGGCUGCUGGCAGCUGGUGGCCUGACUCACUGCCAAACCACUCGACCCUGCAGCUUAUCGGGUGAUUUAACAUUGUUAAAGGCUUCUAAGCAAAAC